This 1683-nucleotide long non-coding RNA is filed under the name Salmo trutta (river trout). RNAcentral's name for it is "lncRNA (ENSSTUG00000005389.1)". Lineage: Eukaryota; Metazoa; Chordata; Actinopteri; Salmoniformes; Salmonidae. The record is from RNAcentral.
AUGCUCUUAUCUGAGUGUGACUGCUUUCAAAUAAGGCACUGUGUAUUCCUGUUUGCCUCGUGUGUAUUCCUGUUUGCCUCAUGUGUAUUCCUGUUUGCCUCAUGUGUAUUCCUGUUUGCCUCGUGUGUAUUCCUGUUUGCCUCAUGUGUAUUCCUGUUUGCCUCGUGUGUAUUCCUGUUUGCCUCAUGUGUAUUCCUGUUUGCCUCAUGUGUAUUCCUGUUUGCCUCAUGUGUAUUCCUGUUUGCCUCGUGUGUAUUCCUGUUUGCCUCAUGUGUAUUCCUGUUUGCCUCAUGUGUAUUCCUGUUUGCCUCGUGUGUAUUCCUGUUUGCCUCAUGUGUAUUCCUGUUUGCCUCGUGUAUUCCUGUUUGCCUCAUGUGUAUAUGUGUGUGUAUCCAGUAUGUGAAUAUAUAUGCAGUGUCUGUUUUUUUAUCCUUAAUAUAAGUAGGCAAGUCAGUUAAGAACAAAUUCUUAUUUACAAUGACGGCCUACCGGGGAACAGUGGGUUAACUGCCUUGUUCAGGGGGCAGAACGACAGAUUUUUACCUUGUCAGCUCGGGGAUUCGAUCUUGUAACCUUUCGGUUACUAGUCCAACGCUCUAACCAGUAAGGUACCUGCCGCCACAGGUGUAUGUAGUGUCUGUAUGCAGUGUGUGUAUGCAGUGUGUGUAUGUAGUGUCUGUAUGCAGUGUGUGUAUGCAGUGUGUGUAUGCAGUGUCUGUAUGCAGUGUGUGCAUGUAUGUUUAAUUGUGUCUGUACGCAGUGUGUGUAUGCAGUGUCUGUAUGUAUUGUGUGUAUGCAGUGUGUGUAUACAGUGUGUGUAUGCAGUGUGUGUAUGCAGUGUGUGUAUGCAGUGUGUGUAUGCAGUGUGUGUAUGCAGUGUGUGUAUGUAGUGUCUGUAUGCAGUGUGUGUAUGCAGUGUGUGUAUGUAGUGUGUGUAUGCAGUGUCUGUAUGUAUUGUGUGUAUGCAGUGUGUGUAUGCAGUGUGUGUAUGCAGUGUGUGUAUGUAGUGUGUGUUUGCAGUGUGUGUAUGUAGUGUCUGUAUGCAGUGUGUGUAUGCAGUGUCUGUAUGCAGUGUCUGUAUGCAGUGUGUGUAUGUAGUGUCUGUAUGCAGUGUGUGUAUGCAGUGUGUGUAUGUAGUGUGUGUAUGCAGUGUGUGUAUGUAGUGUGUGUAUGCAGUGUGUGCAUGUAUGUUUAAUUGUGUCUGUACGCAGUGUGUGUAUGCAGUGUGUGUAUGUAGUGUGUGUAUGCAGUGUCUGUAUGUAUUGUGUGUAUGCAGUGUGUGUAUGCAGUGUGUGUAUGCAGUGUGUGUAUGUAGUGUGUGUUUGCAGUGUGUGUAUGUAGUGUCUGUAUGCAGUGUGUGUAUGCAGUGUCUGUAUGCAGUGUCUGUAUGCAGUGUGUGUAUGUAGUGUCUGUAUGCAGUGUGUGUAUGCAGUGUGUGUAUGUAGUGUGUGUAUGCAGUGUGUGUAUGUAGUGUGUGUAUGCAGUGUGUGCAUGUAUGUUUAAUUGUGUCUGUACGCAGUGUGUGCAUGCAGUGUCUGUAUGUAUUGUGUGUAUGCAGUGUGUGUAUGCAGUGUGUGUAUGUGUUCAUAUUUCAGUGUUGUGUGUCUAGGACUAGUGUGGUCCUGAGAAAAGGAAGGCAUAUGGUCGGAAAGGCUUCAAUUCAAUAAGGAUUAUUGAGUGUAA